Molecule: ribosomal RNA, 492 nt
Filed under: uncultured bacterium
Lineage: Bacteria
Description: partial 16S ribosomal RNA
Rfam family: Bacterial small subunit ribosomal RNA
Source: RNAcentral
AGUGAACGCUGGCGGUAGGCCUAACACAUGCCAGUCGAACGGCAGCACAGUAAGAGCUUGCUCUUACGGGUGGCGAGUGGCGGACGGGUGAGGAAUACAUCGGAAUCUACUUUUUCGUGGGUGAUAACGUAGGGAAACUUACGCUAAUACCGCAUGCGACCUACGGGUGAAAGCAGUGGAUCUUCGGACCUUGCGCGAUUGAAUGAGCCGAUGUCGGAUUAGCUAGUUGGCGGGGUAAAGGCCCACCAAGGCGACGAUCCGUAGCUGGCCUGAGAGGAUGAGCAGCCACACUGGAACUGAGACACGGUCCAGACUCCUACGGGAGGCAGCAGUAGGGAAUAUUGCGCAAUGGGCGAAAGCCUGACGGAGCAACGCCGCGUGAGGGAAGAAGGUCUUCGGGUCGUAAAACUCUUUUAUUAGGGAAGAAAAAAUGUGGAAGAAACCCUGCAUGUCUUGACGGUACCUAAUCAGAAAGCCCGGGCUAACUACGUG